RNAcentral lists this ribosomal RNA (563 nucleotides) under uncultured bacterium. RNAcentral's name for it is "bacterial SSU rRNA". It matches the Rfam family "Bacterial small subunit ribosomal RNA", at positions 340 to 916 of the family's 1533-position model. The record is from RNAcentral.
UACGGGAGGCAGCAGUGGGGAAUUUUCCGCAAUGGGCGAAAGCCUGACGGAGCAAUACCGCGUGAGGGAGGAAGGCUCUUGGGUUGUAAACCUCUUUUCUCAGGGAAGAAGCUCUGACGGUACCUGAGGAAUCAGCAUCGGCUAACUCCGUGCCAGCAGCCGCGGUAAUACGGAGGAUGCAAGCGUUAUCCGGAAUGAUUGGGCGUAAAGCGUCCGCAGGUGGCGAUUCAAGUCUGCUGUCAAAGGUCGGGGCUCAACCCUGAACAGGCGGUGGAAACUGAACAGCUAGAGUGCGGUAGGGGUAGAGGGAAUUCCCGGUGUAGCGGUGAAAUGCGUAGAGAUCGGGAAGAACACCAGUGGCGAAAGCGCUCUACUAGGCCUGCACUGACACUCAGGGACGAAAGCUAGGGGAGCGAAUGGGAUUAGAUACCCCAGUAGUCCUAGCCNGUAAACGAUGGAUACUAGGCGUGGCUUGUAUCGACCCGAGCCGUGCCGGAGCUAACGCGUUAAGUAUCCCGCCUGGGGAGUACGCGCGCAAGCGUGAAACUCAAAAAAAUUGACGG